UGUGUAGGCGGUUGUUUAAGUUUGGUGUGAAAUCUCCCGGCUCAACUGGGAGGGUGCGCCGAAUACUGAAUGACUUGGAGUGCGGGAGAGGAAAGUGGAAUUCCUGGUGUAGCGGUGAAAUGCGUAGAUAUCAGGAGGAACACCGGUGGUGUAGACGGCUUUCUGGACCGUAACUGACGCUGAGACACGAAAGCGUGGGUAGCAAACAGGAUUAGAUACCCUGGUAGUCCACGCCCUAAACGAUGCAUAUUUGGUGUGGGUCAUUCAGUUGAUCCGUGCCGGAGCUAACGCGUUAAAUAUGCCGCCUGGGGAGUACAGUCGCAAGGCUGAA
This 331-nucleotide ribosomal RNA is filed under the name uncultured bacterium. RNAcentral's name for it is "bacterial SSU rRNA". It matches the Rfam family "Bacterial small subunit ribosomal RNA", at positions 568 to 898 of the family's 1533-position model. The record is from RNAcentral.